GUAGGUGGCAAGCGUUGUCCGGAAUUAUUGGGCGUAAAGCGCGCGCAGGCGGUCCUUUAAGUCUGAUGUGAAAGCCCACGGCUCAACCGUGGAGGGUCAUUGGAAACUGGGGACUUGAGUACAGAAGAGGAAAGCGGAAUUCCAAGUGUAGCGGUGAAAUGCGUAGAGAUUUGGAGGAACACCAGUGGCGAAGGCGGCUUUCUGGUCUGUAACUGACGCUGAGGCGCGAAAGCGUGGGGAGCAAACAGGGAUUAGAUACCCUGGUAGUCCACGCCGUAAACGAUGAGUGCUAAGUGUUAGGGGGUUUCCCGCCCCUUAGUGCUGCAGCUAACGCAUUAAGCACUCCGCCUGGGGAGUACGGCCGCAAGGCUG
Molecule: ribosomal RNA, 372 nt
Filed under: uncultured organism
Description: partial 16S ribosomal RNA
Rfam family: Bacterial small subunit ribosomal RNA
Source: RNAcentral